Molecule: ribosomal RNA, 253 nt
Filed under: uncultured bacterium
Lineage: Bacteria
Description: partial 16S ribosomal RNA
Rfam family: Bacterial small subunit ribosomal RNA
Source: RNAcentral
UACGAGGGGGGCGAGCGUUGUUCGGAAUUAUUGGGCGUAAAGAGUGCGUAGGCGGUUUGAUAAGUCUGAUGUGAAAUCUAUGGGCUCAACCCAUAGCCUGCAUUAGAAACUGUCGGGCUUGAGUAUGGGAGAGGUGAGUGGAAUUUCCGGUGUAGCGGUGAAAUGCGUAGAUAUUGGGAGGAACACCAGUGGCGAAGGCGGCUCACUGGACCGGAACUGACGCUGAGGCGCGAAAGCGUGGGGAGCAAACGGG